UUUAUUUAUGUCUACCUGCCCACUGAUUUAUUUAAUGGCCGCGGUAUUUUGACCGUGCAAAGGUAGCAUAAUAAUUUGUCUUUUAAUUGAAGGCUUGUAUGAAUGGUUGGACGAGAAAAUUACUUUCUUUAUUAUAAAAAAAUUAAUUUUAUUUUUUAGUUAAAAAGCUAAAAUUUUGUUGUAGGACGAGAAGACCCUAUAGAACUUUAUAUUCAUUAUUAUAUUAAUAUUUUUGGUUAAUUUUUUAUUAUAUUUUUAUGAAUAUUUUGUUGGGGCGACAAGAAAAUUUAUUUAACUUUUCUUUAUUAGUUUCAUUAAUUAAUGUAUAAAUGAUCCUUUAUUAUGGAUAAUAAGAAUAAGUUACCUUAGGGAUAACAGCGUAAUUUUUUUGGAGAGUUCUUAUCGAUAAAAAAGUUUGCGA
RNAcentral lists this ribosomal RNA (421 nucleotides) under Sigara assimilis. Its description in RNAcentral is "partial large subunit ribosomal RNA". It matches the Rfam family "Archaeal large subunit ribosomal RNA", at positions 1936 to 2592 of the family's 2987-position model. The record is from RNAcentral. Lineage: Eukaryota; Metazoa; Arthropoda; Insecta; Hemiptera; Corixidae.